This 1054-nucleotide long non-coding RNA is filed under the name Chrysolophus pictus (golden pheasant). RNAcentral describes it as "lncRNA (ENSCPIG00010000683.1)". The record is from RNAcentral. Lineage: Eukaryota; Metazoa; Chordata; Aves; Galliformes; Phasianidae.
GCAAAACCUGGCUCUUCUCAUCGAGAUCCCGCAGCAUGCGGUCAGUGGCACCGUGGGGCAGUCCGUGCUCCUGCCCGUCUCCUACAGAGUCAACAGCUCCUUUCGCUUCCCAAUGUCAAUUGAGUGGAAGUUUGGGAACAGCCCACAGGUGAUCAUCACCUGCUCCGUGCAGAACUGCUCCCUGGAUGCUGAAGGAGCUCCCAAGAAAUGCUCUGCACAAUAUUUGCCUCACCAAUCAUACCGGCACCGCAUUGAGUUCUUCCCUGAGAACGCAUCCCUGCUGCUGCGGGACCUGCAGCUCAGUGACAGCGGGGUGUACAGCAUUGCCUUCCAAAAGCAAAAGCAAAGCAGGGGGAUCAGCCUGGCAGUGCACAAGCAGCAUGUUUCCACUGGGCAUCCUGACAAAGGCACCAAUGCCCAAGACAUCUCCCGUUACUACACAAUUGGAGUUUGCUCCCUAAUCGGCCUCUUUCUGCUGCUCCUGGUCCUCUGCAUAUGGCGGCGAGGUGCACUGUGGAAGAAGAUGAGAACUACUACACAGCAGCAGGCCUCAAACACAGAGGAUAUCCACAUGCAAAACACCGUGGUAGGGGACAUGGCAACAAUUUAUGCCACAGUUGGAGAAGACUUUGAAGAGACAAAGCCAAGAGCAUUACCAGAGACUCUCUACACAUCCAUAAACUUUCCUCAACUGCCUUCUGCUUUGGCUCCAAAAUUUGCUGCAGAGCCAAGGUGAUGCUGUUGCCACUCCGUCCAUUGUGAUCGGACCCUUGCUGAGCCCCCUCCUGCCCAGGGAGCGUUUAAGUGCUUGGAGCAACAGAUUAUGGAAAUGCAUUAGUUCGCCUCAAACCACAGUUUCUCUUGAAUUUGAGGAAUGAUCUGCUUUUAGUUUCAUCUUGAGAUUUCCGGAGAGCACGGAGACACUGAACACAAGAGAAAGAUGCCUAAAGCAAAAGCAAAACAACAGUUCACCCAUGAGAAGCUCGCUUCCAGAGACAUGCCUUAAUUUGAGGGGUAAUGGAGAACACUGAAUGUGUUUCAGACGUGCAUCCCA